RNAcentral lists this ribosomal RNA (394 nucleotides) under Arion cf. silvaticus. Its description in RNAcentral is "partial 16S ribosomal RNA". It matches the Rfam family "Archaeal large subunit ribosomal RNA", at positions 1950 to 2643 of the family's 2987-position model. Lineage: Eukaryota; Metazoa; Mollusca; Gastropoda; Stylommatophora; Arionidae. The record is from RNAcentral.
UCUGCCCAGUGAGUUUCUUUAACGGCCGCAGUACUUUGACUGUGCUAAGGUAGCAAAAUAAAUAGGCCUUUAAUUGGGGUCGAGAAUGAAAGGCUUCAUGGUUUGACGCUGUCUCCUACUAUUAACCCUUAAUUUACUUAGUAGGUGAAAAUUCCUACAUAUAUGUAUAAGACGAGAAGACCCUAAGAAUUUUUAAAUUAAUGUUACCGUAAAUGAGAAAUUUUUUGUUGGGGCGACAGUAUGGCAUUAAACCCAUAUUAAUAUUACACAGCAUGGCCGAACUAGAAUAGUAAUGGAGAGUAUAAUUACCUUAGGGAUAACAGCAUAAUUUUUCAUAAGAUUGUGACCUCGAUGUUGGACUAGGGACCUCUUAUAUUAACCGUAUAAAAGGUAA